RNAcentral lists this ribosomal RNA (253 nucleotides) under uncultured bacterium. RNAcentral's name for it is "partial 16S ribosomal RNA". It matches the Rfam family "Bacterial small subunit ribosomal RNA", at positions 524 to 776 of the family's 1533-position model. The record is from RNAcentral.
UACGUAGGGUGCAAGCGUUGUCCGGAAUUACUGGGCGUACAGCGCGCGCAGGCGGACUCCCACGUGCCGUGUGACAAGCCACCGCUCAACGGUGGAGGGCCAGGGUACACGAGGGGUCUGGAGGCAGGGAGAGGGAUGUGGAAUGCCCGGUGGAGCGGUGAAAUGCGUAGAGAUCGGGCGGAACACCAGCGGCGAAGGCGGCAUCCUGGUCCUGUACUGACGCUGAGGCGCGAGAGCGUGGGGAGCGAACUGG